Molecule: ribosomal RNA, 246 nt
Filed under: uncultured bacterium
Lineage: Bacteria
Description: partial 16S ribosomal RNA
Rfam family: Bacterial small subunit ribosomal RNA
Source: RNAcentral
UGGCUCCUACGGGACGCAGCAGUGGGGAAUAUUGGGCAAUGGGCGCAAGCCUGACCCAGCAACGCCGCGUGAAGGAAGAAGGCUUUCGGGUUGUAAACUUCUUUUCUCAGGGACGAAGAAAGUGACGGUACCUGAGGAAUAAGCCACGGCUAACUACGUGCCAGCAGCCGCGGUAAUACGUAGGUGGCAAGCGUUAUCCGGAUUUAUUGGGUGUAAAGGGCGUGUAGGCGGGAGCGCGAGUCAGAU